GUUAUAUAAAUAUUUGAUUUAAAAUGUAAAAAUUAUAGUAUUUAUUUAAAUAUUAAAAUUUUAAAAAUUCUCUCUCAUCUCUCAUCUUUUUUUGAAUAAAUCUAUUUAUCAAUUUUUUUUAUUUAUAUUUUUAUUUUCAUUUUUCAAACUUUUUUUUCUUUUUCAUAAUAUCAAUUUUUUAUAGUGAUUCUUCUCUAUUUCUUUUUAUUUUUUCAAUAUCCAACUCAA
Molecule: long non-coding RNA, 228 nt
Filed under: Salvia miltiorrhiza (redroot sage)
Lineage: Eukaryota; Viridiplantae; Streptophyta; Magnoliopsida; Lamiales; Lamiaceae
Description: long non-coding RNA (SMIL_LNC011491)
Source: RNAcentral